Molecule: long non-coding RNA, 1269 nt
Organism: Mustela lutreola (European mink)
Lineage: Eukaryota; Metazoa; Chordata; Mammalia; Carnivora; Mustelidae
Exons: 3
Source: RefSeq, a predicted model, not a curated record
GGAUUCCGAUAGCUUUUCGUACAUUCUGAUGGAAGCGUAAGCCAUGGAGACUCCGAAUUCUUGUCCACUUAAGCACAUCAGAUGUGGACUCAGAAGACGUGCCUGAGCCCUGCACAUGAGGAUGCGAAAAUGCCCUAAAGGGACACAACCUCAUUCUCCUGAAGAUUAAACAAAACCGGCAGUCCUUAGCAGGAAGAAACUUGAAAUUUUUGUUCCACAGAUGACCAGAUGACCCAGAAGGAAUCAACAGAUAUAAUACUGGACUCGAUAAAUACCUUGACCAGGAACCAAUAUCACCAACUGAACCGACUGAACCAAAUCAUACCAAUUACUGUGACUGAACUCUUCUAAGAACACAGUGAAAUGGACAAAAAAAUAUGCAGCCAGUGAAAAAGGAAUUCAACAUUUUGAUUUGGUUUGUUAUUUUCAACGCUGAUUUUUAAAUUACUCAGGAGACUAACAUCAUAUUUCAACAUACUAGAUACUGUGAAAGCAGACAGCUAAAAUGCUGUUUAUUUCAGUCACCGUUUCCAAAUUGUACCCUGCAGGAAAGUGGAAUAUAUUUAACUUUGGUGUAAACAAAAGCAGUGUUUUAGGUAGAAAAUACAGGAAAAGAGGAUCACUCGAUAACUGAUUUGCCAAGGGAAUUUAAAAGUUCUAUGGAAAUAUUUUUAAACAUAUUUUUUCUUUGAGAAAAGCUAACCAUGUAAAAAUGCACCAGAUUAAAGCUAAGUUCCUUCAGAAAUACUGCAUUUGUUAUCUGGUUAUGGAACAUCUCCUUCUAGAACUGCAGUUAAUUAAACAUGCAAGGUGAGUUCCACCGUGUGUGCUGUUUGUCCUCCUACAAAAUGGAAGCAUGGUACUUAUCAGAAGCCUGCUAUUUCACUGUAGUUCUCUGAAUAACUGAAAAUAUCAUUGUUGCAAUAAUGAACACCCCUUGACUGUUUUACACACACCAGGUGCUAUGCUAAGUACUUUGCAUUCACCAUCUCAUUUAACUCCCCAACAACCCAAUGAGGUAGAAUAUAUCUGCUUCCCUCUUUUACAGACAAGAAAACAGAGUCUGAGAGAAUUAGAAACUUCCAAGUUUAGGAAGAAAUUAAGCAAUGCCCCCUAAAUCAUACAGCUAGUAAACUGUACAUGUCCGAACUAUACCAGGUUAUCUUCUCACCAAGUAUAUGAAAUAAUUAAACUUACUACUUUCUUUCCUUGAAAAUCAAAUAUCUCACGGUCAAGUCAAAUUAGGAAGAUUUUGAAGUUAAUUCUGUA